GGAGGUGGAGAACACAGAAGCCCGCAAGACAGAGGCAAAGCAGUGAGAGCGAGUGUGUGCGCAUAAAGGCGCUUCGGUCCAUGUGUGUGUGUAUGUCUGUGUGUGUGUGUGUGUGGAACAAGGCCUCAGACCUCAGACAUUCCUUUCACUAUGACCUAGGGUACAAUUAAGGAGACGUCCCUCCCCCUGCCUCCCCUCCUCGGUGGACCACAUCAACGGAAGUCCUGGCCUAGCUGGAGGCUCUAAUGACGGGAGGGAGGCCAGGUCGCGACCCUGGGACCGUGGGGAAGGACAAGUCCUGGCUGUCCUGGCUCUUGACAGAGGAGAUAAAUCACUCAGCACACCGGAGGAUAGCCUUCCAGUCGGCAAGCUGGGAACUUCAUUAUCCCGCCCCUUCCACACAUUACCAUGCAGAUUGUCACUGAUUGGGCCGACGCCGCGGCAAACGCAGCCUACUUCUGUCACCGGGACAGGAGUCUCAGAUCAUUCUCAGCGGAGACGGAGACGGCAAAGGAGAGUUCGAUAGACAUUGUGAUGCUCCUUCCGACUUGCACAACUUGUCCACUAGGGGAUCCCCGCGUUCGCCACAAACCACCCAUCUUGAGAACGUCGGAGGGCAUCGACAUUUAUUUAUGGACAUUGAACAUACGUCGUGUUUAUAAACCACAAAGGAAUUGCAUUACAUCUUGUUCCGUGAGCCUUUGCUUCCAUUCAAUAACUAUAGGUCCGUUUGAAAGUCCUCUUUUUUCAUGAUUUAGUGAACACUAAUAUUGGCUUUUAAAACAGGAUAUGGAUGUGGUUUCUGGAAAUUACUUUAGAUGUACAAAUACAUAGAAAACAAGCAAUGGGAUGUACAGUGUGGAUGUGGCAGUUAUGAGCUUGAUCGCACACAAAUGUGGAAACUAUGUGUGAAGUCGUCCGAACGGUAUCAUCGAAUAACAUUAUGGUCUUGAAAAAGGAAAGGCCACAAUUAAAAAAAAAAAAAGAAGUAGGUAUUUUUUUUUUUUUUGGUUUGUUUGUCCUGUUAAUUUUAAAGACCAAUGUUACUGCUACACUGGAAAAAAAAAUGUUGAAAUGUGUGUGGUCCUGAAACAUGUCAUAUGA
This is a long non-coding RNA of Hippocampus zosterae (dwarf seahorse), 1104 nucleotides long. RefSeq lists it as uncharacterized. Lineage: Eukaryota; Metazoa; Chordata; Actinopteri; Syngnathiformes; Syngnathidae. The record is from RefSeq and is a predicted model, not a curated record. The transcript has 4 exons.